Papaver somniferum (opium poppy) is the source of this 1874-nucleotide long non-coding RNA. RefSeq lists it as uncharacterized. The transcript is spliced from 9 exons. The record is from RefSeq and is a predicted model, not a curated record. Lineage: Eukaryota; Viridiplantae; Streptophyta; Magnoliopsida; Ranunculales; Papaveraceae.
UAGGCGAUAUGCCCAAGGUUAGAAGAUAUUUUCCCCUUUCUUUGAUUUAUAUCCCUGCCUCUGCUACUACUGGACACAUAUUCUCUCUCUCUCGAUCUCUCAGAUUUUUUUUUUCUUCCAUUCGAUUCAUUGUCAUAAUAUUUAAUCGAAUAUCUGUUCUCAACAAGAUUAAUCAGAGUUAUCUUUCCUAAACCUAUAUCUCAGAAACAAACCGAUCUUCAGAAACCAAACCCAAUCUUUCAAUAAUCCAUUUGAACCCUAGAAGUUUGAUUUUCUCCGACAUGAUCCCUAGAAAACGAAAUCUCUAUACUCUAUGCACGACCUAUUGCUGACUAGUCCAAGAAUAUGAGUUUAUAAAACCCUAGAUUCUUCGUAAGUGCUGAUGCUAUGAGUCUGAUUUUUAUAUAUAUAGUAAUUUGUUUUUUCAAGAAUCCUCAAUUUUUAUGCUUCUUCAUUUGAUUUCAUGGAGUUCAAAUAAUGGGUUUGGUUCUAAUUUCAAUUUUAUGAUCUGAGUUGUGAGUUAGGUUACUAUAUUCGUGUGCAAUCUGGUUGUAUUGAUUUUCUUGGGUUUAUUUUUGUUUUGAUUUGGCUUGUGUUGAUAGUAUUCCAUCAUUUAGAUCUAAAAUUUGUUGGAUUUACAAUGAAUUUAGUUUGUGUUUCUUUUGAGAAGAUAUUGAGAAGAUUAGUCAAAAGAAGAUAAGUAGGAAGAAUUAGAUUUUAGGGGGUUCUCAAGCACAACAGUUCCAUGGUGAGCCAUCUAAAUGACAUUGGUAAGAGAUUAGACAGUGAAUCAGUGAAGUGCAACCCACUUUAACAGAAGACAGUGAACCAUUUAUGCUUCCAAGCCGUGUUCCAAGCGUUGUGGAAUACCUUGUCAAGUGGGAGGAAUUAUUAUCUACGCUGCACAUGAGGAUAAGAAUCAGAUUUACCUGUCAUCCGUGAAGCAUCCAACGCAAUUGCAUCAGGGAGCUGAAUUCGGAUUGAUGGGGGAUCAAAUGUUGAGAAACUUGGGGUUGCAAAACAUCCAAACUUUUAUUAAAAUGGUGCUGGCCUUUAUGUUAGCAUCUCUCUUUCCUUGGGAUUGCAUCAAACUUGGAUUUGAUCUUGUAUUGGGUACCUCCAAUGUAGACGAUGGAUUGUGCGGUCACUUAACAAAGGCAAGUGCUUUUACUGUGUUGCAGUAUAGUUGCCGCUCUGGAGAUAUAAGUCACAAUUAAUGGAAGCAUUGAUAAGCAGGAUCUUCGAGCAUUUCUGAAUUGGGAUGAAGUCCAUCUCGAUUUUUCAUUGUCAAGAUGCCCCUCCAACUCAUCCAACUGAUAAGUUGGAGCCUGUAUGAUUCAAUUAUAGUCAGGUACUGGUUCAUUGAGGGUUGGGUUGAAUUCUUGACAAUUGCAGUGUCUAUCAGAAGCACAAGAUAGAUAAACCUAUGGAUAUGGGGCGAAAUGUUAAUUGUAGAGCUUGUCAAAGGUAACCACUUGGUUCUAGAUAUUGAACUGGAACAACCUAAACUCUACAUGGGUGAAGCAAAGUUGGAAUGGCAGAAGUAAUUAAACCGGGAAAAGUUCUAUAUGAACUAUUAAAAUCAGAAGAGGAAGCUAGCUGAAACGUUAGGAUCCAAGUGGAGGAGCAAGGAUGAGCUUAAACGCUUUUAUGAAGCAUAUGAGAAAGACUUCAUUUCUGUUUUUUCUUGUAUCUGCUUUGUUACUUAUGUUAAAAAUAGUAAAAAUGGCAAAGUAACAAAUCUGGAUCUUGGGUGAUUGUUGAUUCUUGAAUUAGUAUAAUAUGUAUACAAAUUAUUCUUCACUAUUAUAUUUGAUUCUAGUUUUGUAUUCUGCUGAAUCCAAAGCUGAUUCAGCUGAAUCAAUUUUUAUGAA